This 434-nucleotide ribosomal RNA is filed under the name uncultured bacterium. RNAcentral describes it as "bacterial SSU rRNA". It matches the Rfam family "Bacterial small subunit ribosomal RNA", at positions 355 to 787 of the family's 1533-position model. The record is from RNAcentral.
UGAGGAAUAUUGGUCAAUGGGCGGGAGCCUGAACCAGCCAAGCCGCGUGAGGGAGGAAGGCCCUAUGGGUCGUAAACCUCUUUUGUCAGGGAACAAAAGCGAGUAUGUAUACUAGUCUGAGUGUACCUGAAGAAAAAGCAUCAGCUAACUCCGUGCCAGCAGCCGCGGUAAUACGGAGGAUGCGAGCGUUAUCCGGAUUUAUUGGGUUUAAAGGGUGCGUAGGCGGCGGUGCAAGUCAGCGGUAAAAGCCCGGGGCUCAACCCCGGCGAGCCGUUGAAACUGCAGUGCUAGAGAAGGCGAGAGGUACGCGGAAUGCGCAGUGUAGCGGUGAAAUGCUUAGAUAUUGCGCAGAACUCCGAUUGCGAAGGCAGCGUACUGGCGCCUGACUGACGCUGAGGCACGAAAGCGUGGGGAUCGAACAGGAUUAGAUACCC